RNAcentral lists this unclassified non-coding RNA (301 nucleotides) under Glomeraceae sp. RNAcentral's name for it is "partial contains 5.8S ribosomal RNA, internal transcribed spacer 2, and large subunit ribosomal RNA". The stretch from base 1 to 65 matches the Rfam family "5.8S ribosomal RNA", at positions 84 to 154 of the family's 154-position model. The record is from RNAcentral. Lineage: Eukaryota; Fungi; Glomeromycota; Glomeromycetes; Glomerales; Glomeraceae.
GUGAAUCAUCAAAUCUUUGAACGCAAAUUGCACUCUCUUUGGAGAGUAUGCCUGUUUGAGGGUCAGUAAUAAUAAAAUCGGGGUGUUGCUUUCUUUGUGACGCACCGGAGAUUGGGCUACCUUUAACUCUCGGGUUUAAGAUGCUUAAAAUUGAACUUUUUUGCGCACUUUUAGACGUACAUAAAUUUUUUUUUUAUUCGUCUAUUCUUAAUGCCAAAAUCUUAUUAGAUGCGAUCACAUCGUGUGGUUUCGUGUCCAUAAAAUUUUCAUGAUGUGACCUCAAAUCAGGUAGGAGUACCCG